This 84-nucleotide ribosomal RNA is filed under the name Crataegus punctata. RNAcentral describes it as "partial 5.8S ribosomal RNA". It matches the Rfam family "5.8S ribosomal RNA", at positions 73 to 154 of the family's 154-position model. From Rfam's summary of the family: 5.8S ribosomal RNA (5.8S rRNA) is a component of the large subunit of the eukaryotic ribosome. It is transcribed by RNA polymerase I as part of the 45S precursor that also contains 18S and 28S rRNA. Lineage: Eukaryota; Viridiplantae; Streptophyta; Magnoliopsida; Rosales; Rosaceae. The record is from RNAcentral.
UGCAGAAUCCCGUGAACCAUCGAGUCUUUGAACGCAAGUUGCGCCCGAAGCCUUUAGGCCGAGGGCACGCCUGCCUGAGCGUCA